Non-coding RNA from Chrysemys picta bellii (western painted turtle), 240 nucleotides. The record is from RefSeq and is a predicted model, not a curated record. NCBI's taxonomy places the organism in Eukaryota, Metazoa, Chordata, Testudines, Emydidae.
GUCCUGACAGCGUCUGAGCCACCAUGGGAACCCGAGGUGACGUGUAUCCAUUGGGGCUCUGCAUCGCCCUGUGCCUGUGGGGCACCGUAGCCCAGAAUAACGGCACACAAGGUACCACUGAGGACUGCAACAACCAUGUGCUGUGCCCAGCAAAUGCCAAGUGUGUGAACAACACCCACUGCACCUGCCUGGAUGGAUACCGAACAAGAGAGAAUCACCCCGUCUUCUUCACCGACACAA